GAUUUUGGUACAGGUAAUAAAUACUGUAUGGGUGAUGAGUUAAUCUAUAUACAGACACUUGUGUACUCAUAUUGAGAGAUUAUGUACAGUAGACAGCUCAGUAUGACAAUGAGAUAACUGCUAUUGCACUGUACAGGUGUUCAUCGUGGAUGUAUAAACAGAAUGUCCUGUUAAUGCUACUGAAAGUUUCUCAGUGUGCAGAUAAAAGCAAGAGUGCACACUGUCACAAAGUUAGUAAAUAAUUACUGUCACACGCUUAAUCUAUUAUUACAUUUUUUGAUAUUCAAUUUACAAUGAUCACAAGAUCAUUGUAAGAUCAUCAAAAGAGGAAUGGAAUAAAAAAUUAAGUUACAUCCCUUGUGAGGUAUUCACUGGUUGUUUCAGUUGGAAACAGCCAAUGAGAACCACAGUCAGUCUUACGUCUCAAUUAUAUGAUCAUGUGACCUCAGGUUUCCUUUGUGCUGAACAGAGUGAUGAGUGAGUGCACGUCAUUCAGCAGCAGGAAGGCUCAUCACCAACAUGCUCGUCUCCGUCCUUACUCUGUCCCUUCUUUUACACUCAGGUCUCACUGUUGUUGUUCUUCAGUCUGGAGAUCAAGUGUCUCACCCAGGAGUCAAAGUGAAGCUGGAGUGCAGCAUGGGUCCGGGGUUCAGCAUGGGCAGCUACACCAUGUACUGGUACCGACAAAACCACCACGGAGCUCCAAUGGAGUUUCUGAUCAAAGAGUACCAAGAAACUGUGGGGCACUUCCAGUCGUUUAUCGAUACGUCCAAAAACAACUUCUCUCUUCAAAUUACUGAGCUCUUUCUGAAUGACAGCAGCACCUACUACUGUGCUGCCAGUCACAGUGAUGCACAGAGAGCAGACAGUCAUACAAAUAACAAGUCUGUAACAGAUGAUAUGCAGGCAGGAAGGAGCUGUGGCUUGUUUGGUUUUUAUACAAUAGAGAAGUAUGAUAAGGUUUGUCCCUAAAGUAGGUUAAGAAAACACACUGGGUCAACAGUGGGCUAUUAGUUAAUAUUAAUUAAAUAUAGUAAACUUACUGUAUAAUUAAAUGAACAUCUCUAUGACAGCGACAAAAAAGAAUAUAAGUACAAUUACAGUAGCUUUUAUGGUACAACAAUUGUACUGGAUUUCAAUAGACUACACAGGUGUGCAUGACCCAAAUACACUACACUAUACUGUAGUAAAAUACACAAUACCAUAUUAUGCUAUACUAUACGACAAGUUGUUGUUUACUUGUUGCUCUGUUUACUUGUUUUCCAGAUUUCCCCUUCUGGGUAAAAAGCCACCAGUUUGUAUUCAGUGGUGGCAGAGAGAUAGCUGUUACUUUGCAGUGUGAACAAAACGACUAUAUUCCUACAUACAGUAACAUACUCUACUGUGUCACUCUGUCCUCAACCCUGCACUUUUUCAUAUAAUUUAAUUUUGUGUGUGCACCCUGAUGAGAUGAAAGUAUAUCAACUUGAAGAGGAUGGCGUACACUGACCUCUACAGGGUUC
Toxotes jaculatrix (banded archerfish) is the source of this 1502-nucleotide non-coding RNA. The record is from the annotation of a RefSeq genome assembly. Lineage: Eukaryota; Metazoa; Chordata; Actinopteri; Toxotidae.